Molecule: ribosomal RNA, 404 nt
Filed under: Fusobacteriota bacterium
Lineage: Bacteria; Fusobacteriati; Fusobacteriota
Description: Fusobacteria bacterium partial 16S ribosomal RNA
Rfam family: Bacterial small subunit ribosomal RNA
Source: RNAcentral
UGGGGAAUAUUGCACAAUGGGCGAAAGCCUGAUGCAGCGACGCCGCGUGAGUGAAGAAGUAUUUCGGUAUGUAAAGCUCUAUCAGCAGGGAAGAAAAUGACGGUACCUGACUAAGAAGCCCCGGCUAACUACGUGCCAGCAGCCGCGGUAAUACGUAGGGGGCAAGCGUUAUCCGGAUUUACUGGGUGUAAAGGGAGCGUAGACGGCGAAGCAAGUCUAAAGUGAAAACCCAGGGCUCAACCCUGGGACUGCUUUGGAAACUGUUUUGCUAGAGUGUCGGAGAGGUAAGUGGAAUUCCUAGUGUAGCGGUGAAAUGCGUAGAUAUUAGGAGGAACACCAGUGGCGAAGGCGGCUUACUGGACGAUAACUGACGUUGAGGCUCGAAAGCGUGGGGAGCAAACAGG